Long non-coding RNA from Cyprinus carpio carpio, 1227 nucleotides. The record is from Ensembl. Lineage: Eukaryota; Metazoa; Chordata; Actinopteri; Cypriniformes; Cyprinidae.
CUUCAGUCCAGCACUUUUAUCAAGCAUAUGAAAUUUAGUGCAGAUUGAACAUGGAAUGUUUGAGUUAGUAUAAAGCAUGUUGUGUCCUAUUGCCAACAGGUGGCGCUAUGAUUAUAACUAAACAUUGGCCUUAAGAUAUCUUCAGGCCAUUACUCUUUCCAAAUGUUUGAAGUUUGGUGCAGAUUGGACAUUGCAUGUUUAAGUUAGUGUAAAACAAGCCAUUUUCUGUUGUCAGCAGGUGGCGCUAUGAUUAUAGUGGAAUAAUGACCUUCAGAUGUGUUCAGGCCAAGACUCUUUUCGAACAUGUGAAGUUUGGGGAAGAUCGGACGUCUUAUGCCUGAGUUACAACAACUUCUAUUCCCAUGGCGAGACAUCGAACUUUGUCACGGCGCCAUGGCCACACCCUUUAAUGAAACCUCAAGAUGUUCACAAUUUAACAUCGCAAAGGCCUUUAGAUUAGACUGACCAAAAAAAAUUAUCAAAUGUCAUAAAAUUUCUAGGAGUAGUUUAUUACGGCGUAAAACAUGUCACUUCCUGUUGCCAGCAGGUGGCGCUAUAGCGAUAUCUGAAUAUUGGCAUGUAGAUAUAUUCAGGUCAGGAGUCUUCUCAAACAUGUGAAGUUUGGGGCAGAUUGGACAUUGUAUGUCUGAGUUAUAGCAACUUCCUUUCUCAUGGCGAAACAUCGAAAUUUGUAAGGCCGCCACAGACACGCCCUUAAACGAAACCUCAAGAUCUUCGCAAUUUAACAUCGCAAAGGCCUUUAGAUUACAUUGACAAAGUUUGGUGUUGAUCUGAAUAAAUCUCUAGGAGGAGUUCGUUAAAGUACAACCCCUGAAAAUGGCAAAAACGAUACAAAUUUUGCAGAGAAAAUUCAAAAUAACUGACUUCCUGUUGGGAUUCGAAUUUCGUACCAAGAGACUUUUUUGUAGGUAUUGGUGUGUUACAUGUGUGUACCGAUUUUUGUACAUGUACGUGAAAUGUAGCUCGAGGCGCACUCCGUUGAAAAUGUAUAGGUGGCGCUAUCGAGGCAUUUUGCCACACCCGAUGGAAUAUUGGCCUUCAGAUUUGUUCAGGCCAGGACUCUUAUCAAACAUGUGAAGUUUGGGCAAGAUCGGACAUUUUAUGCCUGAGUUACAAUAACUUUUAUUCCCAUGGCGAGACAUCGAACUUUGUGACGGCGCCAUGGCCACGCCCUUUAACGAAAACUCAAGAUCUUCACAAUUUAAC